GACGAACGCUGGCGGCGUGCUUAACACAUGCAAGUCGAACGGAAAGGCCCGGCUUUUGUGGGGUGCUCGAGUGGCGAACGGGUGAGUAACACGUGAGUAACCUGCCCUUGACUUUGGGAUAACUUCAGGAAACUGGGGCUAAUACCGGCUAGGAGCUCCUGCUGCAUGGUGGGGGUUGGAAAGUUUCGGCGGUUGGGGAUGGACUCGCGGCUUAUCAGCUUGUUGGUGGGGUAGUGGCUUACCAAGGCUUUGACGGGUAGCCGGCCUGAGAGGGUGACCGGCCACAUUGGGCCUGAGAUACGGCCCAGACUCCUACGGGAGGCAGGGGUGGGGAAUAUUGCACAGUGGGCGGAAGCCUGAUGCAGCAACGCCGCGUGCGGGAUGACGGCCUUCGGGUUGUAAACCGCAUUCGCCUGUGACGAGACGUGAGUGACGGUAAUGGGUAAAGAAGCACCGGCUAACUACGUG
RNAcentral lists this ribosomal RNA (468 nucleotides) under uncultured bacterium. RNAcentral describes it as "partial 16S ribosomal RNA". It matches the Rfam family "Bacterial small subunit ribosomal RNA", at positions 28 to 507 of the family's 1533-position model. The record is from RNAcentral.